AUAACUAUAUAUUUUCUUUGUUAUCAAGUGUAGUAUCUGUUUUUUAUCGGUUUAAUAACUGAUAUCUGGUCCAAUGAAUCAUACGAUAUUAAAUUACUUUUUUGAGGAGGAGAAAUCAUCUAUGUAGUUUAUUGUUGGACUUCUCAUAUUUCGCUUAUGCGUUGCACUAUUGCAUAAAUCUGACGCACCCCAU
Medicago truncatula (barrel medic) is the source of this 193-nucleotide small nuclear RNA. It matches the Rfam family "U2 spliceosomal RNA". From Rfam's summary of the family: U2 is a small nuclear RNA (snRNA) component of the spliceosome (involved in pre-mRNA splicing). Complementary binding between U2 snRNA (in an area lying towards the 5' end but 3' to hairpin I) and the branchpoint sequence (BPS) of the intron results the bulging out of an unpaired adenosine, on the BPS, which initiates a nucleophilic attack at the intronic 5' splice site, thus starting the first of two transesterification reactions that mediate splicing. NCBI's taxonomy places the organism in Eukaryota, Viridiplantae, Streptophyta, Magnoliopsida, Fabales, Fabaceae. The record is from Rfam.